This 253-nucleotide ribosomal RNA is filed under the name uncultured bacterium. Its description in RNAcentral is "partial 16S ribosomal RNA". It matches the Rfam family "Bacterial small subunit ribosomal RNA", at positions 524 to 776 of the family's 1533-position model. The record is from RNAcentral.
UACAGAGGUGGCAAGCGUUGUUCGGAAUUACUGGGCGUAAAGGGCGCGUAGGCGGCCUUCUAAGUCAGACGUGAAAUCCCCAGGCUUAACUUGGGAACUGCGUCCGAUACUGACAGGCUUGAAUCCGGGAGAGGGAUGCGGAAUUCCAGGUGUAGCGGUGAAAUGCGUAGAUAUCUGGAGGAACACCGGUGGCGAAGGCGGCAUCCUGGACCGGCAUUGACGCUGAGGCGCGAAAGCUAGGGGAGCAAACAGG